UGUCGAAGGCAGCGGGCCCUGAAGAGC
RNAcentral lists this non-coding RNA (27 nucleotides) under Rattus norvegicus (Norway rat). The record is from RNAcentral. Lineage: Eukaryota; Metazoa; Chordata; Mammalia; Rodentia; Muridae.